This is a long non-coding RNA of Chelonia mydas (Green sea turtle), 1704 nucleotides long. RefSeq lists it as uncharacterized. The transcript has 2 exons. The record is from RefSeq and is a predicted model, not a curated record. Lineage: Eukaryota; Metazoa; Chordata; Testudines; Cheloniidae.
AUUUAAGAGAGCAUGUGGCUCUUUCUUAGAUUUCAUAGGAGUUAUUCAGAUGAAACUGAAUGAAGAAUUUGUCCCUCUUUUAUAUAUACUGUAAGCACAUUUAAGAAUUACAAGGCCCUUUAAUCUGAUUGCAUCUGGAAUUUGGUAGUUCAGAUAAAAUGGCACGCAUUUCGAAAAGCGUUUCAGUUUUGGUUUUGCCCAACUGAAAAGGCUUUGCAAAACCAAAGCUGAUAUCAAAACCCAGCCUUCUCAGCCCAUCUCUAACUGUUCUUGAGUGUAGAAUGUUUCUAGCCACCUGGAACAGUUGGAAUUCCAGAAGCACACAGAGGUUGCAAAGCUCAUUAACAAAGAGUGGAUAUACCUAUCUUCCCUGACAUUAAAAAGGGCAGACGCCAUCCCUACCAUACGAUCUUGAUGCUUUCCCCCACUACCGGCUUCACCUCUACCUUGUCUUGAUUAAAUUGCAGGCUUUUGGCUUCCAUCCCAGAUCACGACAUAUGGGUCUGAUGUAAAGAAGAUGCAUUGCUGCAUGUCAUCUGCAUACUGAUGGCACCACAGAUCAAGCCAUAGCAUGAUGGGAUCACAAAGACAUUGAAAAGGAGGGGUGACAAAAUGUAACCUCCCACUUCUGCCUAACGUACCAGAUAUAUGUGGGAAAAUGCACUCCCAGUGCUGCCCUAGUUGGUCUUCCCAGACUCCUUGUUAUGGGCUUGCCUGGGCUGACAAGGAUCCAGGGUAUAGGUGAGUGAGAAUGGGGGUUGUUGCAUUUUAUUCCUUUUGAUUUUUAGCCAACAACACAUUGUCCCUCGAACAUAAAUAUCGCCAUUCUUUACUGUAUCUGGCCCAUGCUACAGAUACAUCAGUUCCUGCUGAAGUCAGUAACCAGACCUCCCAUCUGAGCAAUAUUUCCUACCCAGAUUAUCCGAGAAGGGCUGCUACAGAAGUGCACUCACUCCUCCAAAAUCAAGAACCUGGACUCUGCAAUACGUCUAAUCUGUACUGGCCUGGAGAAGUCUGGAAUCGAGAUUGAAACCACGUUCCUUGUGUGGUAGCAUGACGUGUUACUAGUUAUUACUGGUCCACUGAAACAAUCUGAAGUGAAUCUUUAGUGAAGAAUUGCUGUAGUAUAACAGAAUAACUUUUUCUUAUUGUGAUGUCCACUAGUGCAGCGGAAGUUAAACUAACACUUUUACUUCUAUAGUGCCUUCCAUCCAAAAGUGUUAAUGUACUUUGCAAACACCAGUUUAGCUUCACAGAACACCUGUGUAGAGGGCAAGUAUUAUUAUCUCUUUUUUACAGAUGGGAAAGUGAGGUUAGAUAACUUGCGCAAGGUCAGAGUCUGUGAUAAUCAGGAACAGAACACAGAUUUCUUUAAUGUCAGUCCUGUACAUGAAUCACAAGCUCACUCUCCUUCUAAGGUUUGAUUUGAUUUUAAUGUUUAGCCUAUAAACCCCAAUAAUUAGAAGGUGCCAGUUUAAUCUGUUGGGAAAAUGCAGGUGGGAAGAUAAAGCCAAAGGGAGGGAAGCGGGGGAGACCAUCAGGAUCAGAAAUAUCUUACUCUUCCACGUUGUGUUUAUGGAAUUCCAUUGGAUGAAUGGCAAGAAUUACUUGUAUAUGGACAAAUCAGUCUUUUUUAUAAUAUAAUGUUCGGCAGUCUGAAACAGAAGGAACUCUCCAAAACUCAAAUAAUGGAAUAAUAAAAAU